GAUGAACGCUGGCGGCGUGCCUAAUACAUGCAAGUCGAGCGGACGGACGCUAAGCUUGCGUCUCUGAUGUUAGCGGAGGACGGGAGAGUAACACGUGGAUAACCUACCUAUAAGACUGGGAACACUUCGGGAAACCGGCGCUAACAGCGUAUAAUAUUUUGCACCGCAUGGUGCAAAGGUGAAAGUCGGUCUUGCUGUCUCUUCUAGAUGCAUCCGCGCUGCUUUAGCUAGUUGGUAAGGUCACGGCUUACCAAGGCAACGAUGCAUAGCCGAGCUCAGGGGCUGAUAGCCCACACGGGAGCUGAGACGGGGUCCAGACGCCUACGGGAGGCAGCAGAAGGGAACGGUCCGCAGUGGGCGGAAGUCUGACGGAGCGACGCCGAGUGAGAGGUGAAGGUCUUCGGUGCGUAAUACUCUGUUAUUAGGGAAGAACAGAUGUGGAAGUAGCUGUGCAGAGCGUGACGGUACCUGAUCAGAAAGCCACGGCUAACUACGUG
RNAcentral lists this ribosomal RNA (497 nucleotides) under uncultured bacterium. RNAcentral describes it as "partial 16S ribosomal RNA". It matches the Rfam family "Bacterial small subunit ribosomal RNA", at positions 28 to 507 of the family's 1533-position model. The record is from RNAcentral.